This is a non-coding RNA of Paramuricea clavata, 218 nucleotides long. NCBI's taxonomy places the organism in Eukaryota, Metazoa, Cnidaria, Anthozoa, Malacalcyonacea, Plexauridae. The record is from the annotation of a GenBank genome assembly.
CAUCAUUUGUGGAUAAGUGCCUAUGUGUGCCCGCGUAAUCUCUGGAAUGUGAUAGAGUGGAAAGCUCAUCUAUGAUUCCUAAAUUGCGCUAUAGCCUAUAAUUGGUCAUUUUCUGUUAAUCUAGUAUAGCUGUUGUGGUCGUAUGGGCAGAGAUGAUUGGAUUAGAAUUGGUUUAACUGGUGAUAAACUUCCAGACGGUUGUCAGGAUAACAAACCCG